Molecule: long non-coding RNA, 8126 nt
Organism: Uranotaenia lowii
Lineage: Eukaryota; Metazoa; Arthropoda; Insecta; Diptera; Culicidae
Exons: 3
Source: RefSeq, a predicted model, not a curated record
CGCUGCUAAGGUGGAGAAAAAUAAAUUUGCUCAGUUUUUUAAAAUAUGAUGACUACAUGGGAACAAGUUAUUGUGGAACAGCAACUAAGCUUGAGAAGAAAACGGUUCGAUGUCAUGGAGUUCCAUUAGUAAGAAUCGUUUUUGUGCUACCUUAAUUUCUACAAGAUCGCUACUUAAAUCUGGACUGGCGCAGAGAGAAAAAAUAAAACAAUGUUCGCGGUUAUUUCCGUCAUUGCCAGCUUGUCCUCCGGUUUAUGGUUAACAUGAGCACUUCCAAAAGCUCUGUAAUUUUAUCCCAUCAAGCAUCUGUACGGUCUCUUCAAGAAUCACUUUCAUAUGUGCCGGUGAAAAGAAUAACUUUGCUGUUCCGCUGAUCGCCUAGGUUUUACUACAGUGCAUCCGUUUAGAAGGUGCGGUAAUUCGAGAGAUUUGAACGCGACACAAAAUCGGUUUGACCACACGAUGAAAAGUCAGCUAUAUCCGACCAGAGAAAUUCGACUUGGAACAGUUAUCUAACUGGAAGAAACAAUUCUCGCUGAAGAAACAAUAUGGCUGAUUUCCGGUUCCAGUAUUGGAUAAUCCCACCACCGCCGGCCAUUGGUAAUGAUCCAAGGCAUCCUCUCCAAUCACAGACCAUCGACGAUAUUAUUAACUACGCAUCAGGGUUGGCUAGCAUGGCUAGUCGCUGAAAUUCACUGCUUGGAUUCAAACAUGGGAAGUAAAGCCUCACACAAUUAACUUCCCGAUGGAACCGGGAUUGUUAUCGGGCGCUGGAGUCUCGCUGGAUGAACCAAAGAAUUGGGGAUGUUACGCGAUGCACAGCUCUAUCUGACCUGUACGUCAAAAUAUUAGUACUCUCAGAAUAGCCUUACCCGCGACGGAGAUUCGACUCAGAUACUGGUCAAUUAAUAUCAUCUUGUUUGUCUACGCUUCGAUGAUGAGUCGACUAGCCCUUACAACGCUGAUUAAAACCUAUAGUAUGCAGGGAUGAAUUUUAGACCAGAAAAUCAGGAAUAACACGAAUCAGAAAGUCGGUUGCCACACUUGGAAAGUGUGCGAGUCCUUGCGUUCGGUAUCGGUUCGUUGGUUAGUUCGGGACUCAAGCUCGGUCAAUACUGAGCAUUACCAGGAUGUUCAAAUAUGUCCGGAAUGCAGACAUUCGCUGUCAGAAUAAUACUGUCGAUAGUUUAGGUGCAGUUCUUCUUCUGAAUACCUCCGAGUUCGGCAUGACCUGGCAUAAGGUUUUUAAACCCUUUUGUCUGAUGCAUAUAUAAUAUGCAUUUGUCUGAUGCAUAUAUAAUAAUGCGAAUGAUUGAACUCCUCAUGAAGGUACAAAACGCUAAGUUAAUCACGUAGCGUGGCGAUGAUAAGCGUUCAAAAAAUCAUCAAUAUGGCGAACAGUACUUUAGCGACGCACGUCUACCUUUACUACAAAAGCAGAUUCGAGGGAAGAAGAUUUAUUAUUCCUUACGGAGCGAGCUUAUCAAAAUCGCAGUCUAUGAGGAAUGUUCACGCUAUAGAUCGAGACAUCGAGUGUCGGAGCACGAACACGAUUAAAUCUCUGGAGAGGACGCUUUGCUUUUCAUGUUACUCUGCACUAUCGAAUACAUUUAUCGAUGCCGUUAUGCUCCCGAACACCUUACCAGAAAUUCUUCUUAGUGUCAUUGUGUCUUGAUCUCAACCAGAAGCAAUUUCAAGACCACAGCUUUAAAAUUUUUAUUAUCAAACAAUUUUGAUAUAAUUUUCAUUUAAAAAAGACUUAACAUAAAGUCGUAAGUGGCCUACGACAUUUUUCUCUCCAAACCAUUCAUGUUAUAGGCUCGAUGCAUCACAAAGCUAACGUGUGUGUUUUAAGAUACGAAGGUUUGGUCGAGUACAUUAUUGUUCGGGGCAGCAAAAGCAAAUAAAUUCAUGGCUUUCCUGCAAGCCGCAAAGCAACAUAUUAUUCAUUCUCAAUGACGCAUGCAGUCAAAUGUAUUUUCAUACGCUAAGCUGCUCAUCUAUCAAUCGCAUCAACAUUGGGUCCAAUUUCCUAACGUUUUUGAUAAAUUGUGAUAUUUAUACUAAAGUUCGUCAUUAAAAGUAUUAGAUCAAUGGUCAUCUUCGGCUGUACGAUUUGAAGUCGCUUCCACGUGUACCUGCUCAAGUAUUAUUCCAGCUCUAGCACGUUUAGACUGCCUGAUAGCGAAUCAAGGAAAGUGAAGAGAAAGUUUUCGUCUAUUAGUUGGUUGAUAUGUAGAAUUAGGGGCCUUAAUUCCUUAAUCGUCUAACAGUUAUAACUGCUAAAAUAUAACAUCCUUUACAUAAGCUUACAUAUUCUUCUGUCCUGGAAUCUUUAGCUGGACUGCUGUUUUGCCUUGGAACGAAAUAACAUAUAUUCCCAUUGAGCUGGUGAUCUCGUCUUAUUGGACUUCUGUCCUAAGCUGGCAUAGUCUACCUGAAUCAAAAUUUAAUAUAUCCUAUUUUUGGAAAGGCCUCAAGCUGGCGAUCUUUGCCUGACCUGUACUCUUGUACUAAGCUUUCAGACUCCCCCUCCAAAAUAGCUAAACGUUUUUUCAAGGUAUGUUCGCCAGGUCUACACUCCAGUAGUUGGCGCACUUUGCUUAAUAGUAUAGCUCCCAUCAUAGGAAUAAUAAUAAUCUGCUUAACUUUGCCAAUACUGCACCUCAAUCUCAAUCUGGAAGACGUCGCCGUUAAUAAUACUGGCAUUUUCCCCUGGUUAUUGUUCGGACAGCUGCCAUACUCACCAGGGUUAGCCGGCUUACUCGCCUGGGUUAGCUGGCGUACUCGCCUGGGGAUGCUGGCGUAGUCGCCUGGGUCUAGCUGGCGUACUCGCCUGGGUCUAGCUGGCGUACUCGCCUAGGGAAGCUGGCGUACUCGCCUGGGGUGCUGGCGUACUCGCCUGGGUCUAGCUAGCGUACUCGCCUAGGAAAGCUGGCGUUCUCGCCUGGGGAAGCUGGCGUACUCGCCUGGGGAAGCUGGCGUACUCGCCUGGGGAAGCUGGCGUACUCGCCUGGGGAAGCUGGCGUACUCGCCUGGGUCUAGCUGGCGUACUCGCCUGGGUCUAGCUGGCGUACUCGCCUAGGGAAGCUGGCGUACUCGCCUGGGGAAGCUGGCGUACUCGCCUGGGGAAGCUGGCGUACUCGCCUGGGUCUAGCUGGCGUACUCGCCUGGGUCUAGCUGGCGUACUCGCCUAGGGAAGCUGGCGUACUCGCCUAAGGAAGCUGGCGUACUCGCCUGGGGAAGCUGGCGUACUCGCCUGGGUUAGCUGGCGUACUCGCCUUGAAAACUCAAUCUUACCUUAUUUUCAUUCAAUAUUACUUGAAAUUCACGCCAUAUGUGGUAACUGUAAUUGUCGAGCUGGCAUAUUAUGCCUGUAAAUUAGCUGGCAAUCUCUUUUGUUUUCGUUUUCUUUGCCUGACACUUCCAAAAAUAUUUUUCAUUCACUGGGAACGAACCAGCUUUCCCCCAUACAUUAAAUCUGAACUUGAUUGCUGCUAACAUUCAACGUCGCUUUUGUUCACUAAAAACUUCAGCAUUUGCUAACUUACCAUUGAGUCUUCCGUACCGCACAACCAGCAGUAAUACUUUAGCAGCUCGUUUUUUUUAAUUCAGAAAACAGGCAACUCACCUCCAUUUUGUUUUUUUUUCACAUCAACCAAGGAUUUCCUUUAACUACCAAAUUUGUUCAAUUUUCUUUAACUUUCAUAAAUGAAAGUGUCCUGUCACGGUCGCCAAUGUAAAAAUCCGGAUUCGCACUAAGCAGGAAAUCCUUGGUUGGCCACUACGUCUGUCGGAAACUGCUUGGACCUUUCACUUCCUGACUGUUGAGGCGUUCGCUUUCGCUUGAGGAAACUGCGCGCCGUUGACGGUUGACGCGGGAGAACUCAUAUGAAUGACUGCACGCUAGAAAUUAUUAAACCAUUUACGAAUCAAAAAUAACCAUUUUUGACCUUUUCCCGGGAAAUGCCAUUUUAUGAGUUCUCCAUGAGAAGCCAUAAAAUGACUUCUAGGGGAGAAGUUCGAAUAUGGUUAUUUUUUAACCGAAUGAGAUUCUCGAGGAGAAGUUGAAAUAUGGGUUUUUUUAAAUCAUAAUGCAAAAUGAGGGAAAAGAAAAAAUAAAAUUUUAACAAUUUUGUGUUUUUACAUCUUUUUAUUUAUUUUUAGAUGUUCUGCUUUCUUGAUGAUAAAUACAGGGGGAAAAUGCAACGAUUUUUGUUGUGUGGACCUAUCGGAACAGCAUCGAGCUACUUACUUUCACUUUCCCGAUGAAAGUUCCGAUCUUUUGGCUCUGAUGCUAGUGAUUCAUAAAAAUCAGAGAGCCGAUUUCGCUCGUCAGGAACAGAUGAGCAUUGUCCAGGAAAUAGCUGCAGCAAGGGAAAUAGCUCAUCUCGGUCGCCGGAACAACAAUGUGUAUAGCCAACUUCAAGACCUCCUCAGCUGCGGCUUCAAAGUUAACCUUGAAAAGUGUCUCUAGUGCAGAGAAUGUUUCUGGAGAACCAAAAUCGGCAUUUGGACAGGCUGAAAAAAUGAAAUUAUUACAUAAAUGAAAAACAAAAACGGUCCGUAAAAAAAGUUACCGGUUCCGUUUUCUGCCGCUUCGUGCUAAAUGCAACUGGGAGGCAGCUGUAGCACAGAAUCUUUGCUGACCGCAAUUCCACUCCGGUGGGUGGAGCUUUUUGGGCUGUAUACCAAUCUCAGCUCCAUCCUAAUAUUAUGGAGAAUGGUCGGGAUGGCCAGCUUUUGAAGCACUAUAGUUUGCUCGUUCCGGAAGUAAGAAGUCCCGCGUUCGGUGCUGUUGUUUCACUGGAACUGAAUCCGGACUGCAUGCCGCAGAGUCGUCCAAUUGGUGUACUGCAAUUUAGUUUUUUUGUUGAUUGGUUGAGUUUUUAAUUGGAUAUUCAUAAUGAUAAAACAAUUACCUUUAGAAUUUCUCCAGCCUUGUUUUAUUCGUACGGACAAAAUGAAAAACAAAACACGUUCGGUUCGCUCCACGGUAGCUUCCAAUAUGGCGAAGAAAAAACGUCAAGUUUUUCAACCAUUUUGUGGUUCAUACACGAGAUCUUGAUAAAUGGUUGAAUUUUAACAUAGAAAAAUUCUUAAAAAAUAACCAUAUUGAUAGUUUUAGAGCAAACACUAUAAAAUGGUUAUUCUAUAAACAUAAUUGGUUAAUUGAAAACGAGCGUGUGGUGAGAGCCGACACGCUUGAUCCAAGAUAGGCACUCGAAAGUUGAUAAUGACCUUCCCGGCGUAAUUAACACACUCAAUAAAUCCCUACCUUACACUUUUCAACAAGUACUUCUAGACAAAGGUCUAAACGUUUUUUGGCAAUAUCUGGAUAGUGUGCAAUCGCAUCGGGAUUGGAUGGGAUAAGUUAAGGGAGAUCGUAUAGCCAUUUUAUUCAAAAAUCGACAGUUAAACGAACUACAGCUAUUUCUGAAUACAAGGAUAUCCUUGUCGGAAACAUGACCAGUCUUUUUUGCUUUCUUAAUUGCCGAUUUAGUUGAGAAUCCAAGUUCUACGCUUCCAGGAGAUAGGAGAUUUAUUUUUGUGUUCUAUAAGUGUUUUUUUUUUAUUUUACGUUUAGUCGUUCAGGCUUGGCUUUACAACUUUCUUUAUCAAUGCUCUUACAAGCCCGGUUAAAUCAUCGAAGAGAAACGGAAUCAUACUCGCGUAAAAAGGACUCAACGGUCAGGGCGGCCGUAACAAAAAAAAAACUCAGUUUUGGUCCCAGCAAAUUAUCAUCUACAGCUUUAGCAACAAUGUCAAAUACCUUCGACCGGGAAAUCGAUGGAAAAAUUCCGCUUAAAAUUUGAAUGAUUUUUCUUCUUGACUUUUUCUCCUCGUCGACAAACCGUUUGAGGUACGGUAGCAUUUUGGCAGCACGUUCAGCAACGCGUUCAUUUUCCACCCAGCGAAUGUCACACAAUAUUAACGAAAAUAUAGUUGAACCCGUUACUGCAGUAUAAUGUGCCCUUCUAAGUGAAAUGUGUUUGAACAUCCUCAAAAAUUCAUCCUAAUUCCAUUCACUUUUCCUCAGUCCCUCCUUGAACGCUUUAUGUACAGUGUGAAGUUCACAGCUCCCAAUGGUGAGAAUCGUACGCCGGAUUCGAAACAAGUUCUUGAACCUCGCUAGUUACGGCGUGUUCGUAAAUUGAUUUUUUGGGUGAUGCAUCGAUUUGUUUGGUAGAUGUCAAAUCACCUUCCAAUGCAUUUGCAUACAGUUUGUUUAAUUUACGAACGUCAGCAUCGAUAGAAAAAAACACUUCGAUAGAAAAAAUCAAUUUACGAACACGCCGUUAGUUCCUUUAGAAUUUUCCAAUUUACUGCUGGACCAUCCAUGGAAUACUGGAUCACUCGUUUCAGUAGAUCAGGAUUUGUAGAAAAAACAUAGUUUCACGCCAUACAAAAGGUCAUUCGAGCGCGUCGACGAUAAGAAUGUAGAACCAAUAUACCUUGGUUCAACUAGGUUUGUGUUCCAGAAGCGCACACUAAUAUUGCGGUUACUGGGAAAAUUUCUAAUCGCGCGACGGUAGCCUUCCGUGCGGUAGGCUAGCCGGAGCAGUAAACACAGUUAAAAAAUUCACUCUUACUCACUAAUUUCAUUGAAAGGUUAAGAAGUAAAUUCUUGAAUCAAUCUUCAAAUCAUUAUUUUGCAAGAGAUGACAAAACAUGAAGUCAUCGGAAUGAAAUAUUAUUAUUCUUAGUAUUCAAUGAGAUUGAAGUAAUCACGAGCGUUAAAAUCCCAGACAAAACAAAAAACAAUCUACAUUAUUGAAAACACAUUUUCCAUAGCCUGAGAAUUAACGAAUUUGGCAUGACGAAGAUUUUUGAUGCGAUAAAUGCGUCUUUGAUACUUGAUAUGCUGGUCGAAUUCAAUUAUGUUGUCGUUAAAAUGUAACAAAUCGUAUAUGAGAAGUUAAAAAAAGGAGUUGUGUACGGUGAAUUAUAGGAAAUAACACCAUUCGCAUCGCAAAAAAUUGGACUGCGCACUCAUAACUACGAAAUUUGUGCGAGCUGUCAAAUCAGUAUAAAAUCUGACGGUUUUCUACACGCUAACCGCUUUUCAGUUAAACUUUAUCAGCAACUAUAAUCGAAACAAAAAAAAAAAAAAAAAAAAGUUAAACUUUAUACGGAUAACUCCGACUGCAAAACAUAGCACAAAAUCCAACAUUCAAUGAAUGAUCGCUACCGUGUCGUCGAACUCUAAACUUAUUUAAACAACUACAGGUUUUCAUUUUUUUUCGUGAAUUUGUCGCUGAAUGACCCCAUCGCAAACAGGUUUUUUUUAUUAUUCAUUUUUCCGUGAUUUUGACCGCUGAUUGACCAAGCUCAAGGCUAACACAAUUUUUUGUUUUAUAAACAAUAGAUAAUCCGAUAAUAAUAUUUGGUAUACAUGUUUGUUUGACAACUUUUUAUUAAAUCAUCUUUCAAUGUUUUCCGCUUGUUCAUCCGAUUUAAUUUCAGUCGAUAAAUGUAGAACAAUGCUCAUUUUUUUCUUGAAUAUUGUAAUUUUUUCUACAGUGGUACCCUACGGGAGCCCAAAUCAGCUAUCGCAGAAAUAGAAAAAAAGAGUGGAUCAGCAAUAUCCAUUUGUUGCUUCUGCACAAUCUUAUUUAUUGCGUAUUCAGAGAAAAAUUGGAUUCUCACAACGGUAGUUAGACCCGAAAUUUGACAACCGUAAUUUGACAGCUCUGCUGAUGGGUUGCAUUUUCGUCAGUGUAGCCGAGAAACACUAAAGCAAAUCAUCAUACAAUAUUGUCGCUGAAUCCCCAAACCGGAGUUAUCGUCAAUGAGCGCUGGCGACAUUUACUGGCGACACUCACUGGCGACAAGUUAUUAUCAGGACGUGUCCAACUUCGGGUGUGUUCUUAUACCAAAGAUUUUUUAUUUCAAAGGAAAGUGCCCCAAAAACAAGGAUUUUUUCCUUUGGUUUUGGUAUAAAUAAAAAAUCCUUUGGUUCAAAUGCAUUUUCCUCUGUUUCAAAGAUUUUUUCUUUUGAAAAAUCUUAGAUUCAAAAUAUUAAUGCUUUGAUACAAAAACCAGUUUCAUUUGAUUUAAAGUUAUUAUCUUUGCUCAAAGGUAAUUUAGAUAUAGAUUUAAAAGCAUUUAUUCAUUGAACCAUU